RNAcentral lists this ribosomal RNA (517 nucleotides) under uncultured bacterium. RNAcentral describes it as "bacterial SSU rRNA". It matches the Rfam family "Bacterial small subunit ribosomal RNA", at positions 1 to 524 of the family's 1533-position model. The record is from RNAcentral.
UAGAGUUUGAUCCUGGCUCAGGACGAACGCUGGCGGCGUGCCUAACACAUGCAAGUGGAGCGACGAACCAGGGCUUGCCCUGGGGCAGAGCCGCGAACGGGUGAGUAACACGUGGGUUACCUGCCUCGAUGACCGGGACAACCCGAGGAAACUCGGGCUAAUACCGGAUGUGCCCGCAAAGGGAAAGGAAGCUUCGGCCUCCGCAUCGAGAUGGGCCCGCGGCCCAUUAGCUUGUUGGUGAGGUAACGGCUCACCAAGGCUUUGAUGGGUAGCUGGUCUGAGAGGACGAUCAGCCACACUGGGACUGAGACACGGCCCAGACUCCUACGGGAGGCAGCAGUGGGGAAUCUUGCGCAAUGCGCGAAAGCGUGACGCAGCAACGCCGCGUGGGGGAAGAAGGCUUUCGGGUUGUAAAUCCCUUUCAGUUGGGACGAAGCCUCAUCGGUUAAUAGCCGCGUGGGGUGACGGUACCUUCACAAGAAGCACCGGCUAACUACGUGCCAGCAGCCGCGGUAAU